Molecule: ribosomal RNA, 710 nt
Filed under: uncultured apostome ciliate
Lineage: Eukaryota; Ciliophora; Oligohymenophorea; Apostomatida
Description: bacterial SSU rRNA
Rfam family: Eukaryotic small subunit ribosomal RNA
Source: RNAcentral
UGAUCCAGGGAGGUAGUGACAAGAAAUAACAACCUAGUCGCAAGACAGUGGAUUGUAAUGAGUGCAAUUUAAAACACUGCACGAGGAACAAUUGGAGGGCAAGUCUGGUGCCAGCAGCCGCGGUAAUUCCAGCUCCAAUAGCGUAUAUUAAAGUUGUUGCAGUUAAAAAGCUCGUAGUUGAAUUUCUAGUCAGUUAAUUUGGAGGUCUCCUUCACUUUAGCUGGCUAUUCGACACUGAACCAUGCCGGUUAUUAAGUUAACCCCAUGGAGAAUUGUCAUUUUACUUUGAAAAAAUUAGAGUGUUUCAGGCAGGCAAUUGCCCGGAUAUCUUAGCAUGGAAUAAUGGAAUAGGACUUUGGUUCAUUUUAUUGGUUAUUGAAUCAGAGUAAUGAUUAAUAGGGACAGUUGGGGGCAUUAGUAUUUAAUUGUCAGAGGUGAAAUUCUUGGAUUUAUUAAAGACUAACUUAUGCGAAAGCAUUUGCCAAGGAUGUUUUCAUUAAUCAAGAACGAAAGUUAGAGGUUCGAAGGCGAUUAGAUACCGCCCUAGUUCUAACCAUAAACGAUGCCAGCUAGCGAUCUGCCUGCGUUUUUACUGUAGACUGGGCAGGAAGCUUCCGGGAAACCAAAGCAUUUGGGUUCCAGGGGAAGUAUGGUUGCAAAGCUGAAACUUAAAGGAAUUGACGGAAGGGCACCACCAGGAGUGGAGCCUG